UUCCUCCUGCAGCACAGCCUGCAGCCUGGCUCCUGCACAUGGCGGUAGAAAUAGGAACACUGGAUGCUCCAUGGUGAAGGAUUGUCAGAGGAAGAGGAGGACACGCCCCGCCUGAAAGACGACCUAUUGUCUCAGGGGCCUCUUUGGCAUCCACAAGUGCACAGGUUGAAGCUGGCAGCAUGGAUUCUGAAGAGCAGAUACUAAGAGCCAGGGGCCUGUCGGAAAGAGUUAUAACAACCAUGCUACAAAUUCACAAGAUGAUUACUUCUACCAUCUAAGGUUCCUACAAUAUAGGAUCCGCUCAGUGGAUAUCUUCUAUAUAAGAUCCCUCUCUUGAUUGACCCAACAAGAAUGGGUAGAGACAAGGAUGAGAUGGCGGAGAGUAUAUUAAAUCUCACCAUAGAGAUCCUCUUCCGGCUUACUGGAGAGGACUACACAGUAGUAAAGAAGACCUCUAGUGAGCACUGUCAGGCCCCUGUGUCUG
Bufo gargarizans (Asiatic toad) is the source of this 484-nucleotide long non-coding RNA. RefSeq lists it as uncharacterized. The transcript is spliced from 4 exons. Lineage: Eukaryota; Metazoa; Chordata; Amphibia; Anura; Bufonidae. The record is from RefSeq and is a predicted model, not a curated record.